ACGGAUAUAUCCUUCAGAAAUUUUGCGUAAUCAACGGUGUAAUUCUGAUAUAUAUAUAUAUACAAAGAAUCUCAUUUUAUGUGGUACACUUUAUUUUUUAAUUUGCCUAAGUGAAAGACAUAUUUUCUUAGAAGGAAAAGAGUGGAUAAUUAAAGACAUGUAACGGUGGAUUGCCCAACAUGGUGAAAUUGUGAGAUUGACAAGAAAGAAUAUUUAUUUUUCCAACUUCCAAAUCACUUUUAUAAUCAAACAACUCUAGGACAAAAUCAUUAUACUCAAAGUGAAACAUCUCUUCCAUAAAUUAAAAGUCAUUCGUUUAGUCAUCUUUGUAAUCCCAUAUUACUGCAUGUUUGCUCCCUCCACAACAAAGCAAUUGCCUAAUAGCACAAACAACUUUCUCCCGACAGCCACAAGUCUUAUUAACAACUCCUUUCUCGUCCAUUUUGAUUUUCUUCAUCUUCUCCUUGUGAUGUUUCUGCAUUACAUGAAUUUCAGCAACUUGUGACAUGGCUCUCUGUUUUUGCUGACCGUUGCUCUCCUUUAUAAGCGCUUGAGUACUUGGGAAAUGGAAGUCUCAGUUCUUACUAAUUUUUCAAGAAAGUCAAUUAAUACUCUAUUUUCUG
This 623-nucleotide long non-coding RNA is filed under the name Nicotiana benthamiana. RNAcentral's name for it is "long non-coding RNA (NBEN_LNC013783)". Lineage: Eukaryota; Viridiplantae; Streptophyta; Magnoliopsida; Solanales; Solanaceae. The record is from RNAcentral.